AAGACUAUAGACCUGCGGAGUACCUGCGGAGGGAUCAUUACUGAGUACCGGGUCUCUCAGGCCCUUACUCCCACCCUUUGUGUACCUUACCAAAUUUCAGUUGCCUUGGUGGUAGAGACUCUAAUUUAUGUGGGGCAGAGCUCACCACCAUUGGAACUUUUUUAAACUCUUUAUGAAUUGUGUCGUCUGAGAACAAAAAACAAAUAAAUUAAAACUUUUAACAACGGAUCUCUAGAUCGG
This 240-nucleotide unclassified non-coding RNA is filed under the name soil metagenome. RNAcentral describes it as "partial contains 5.8S ribosomal RNA, internal transcribed spacer 2, and large subunit ribosomal RNA". The record is from RNAcentral.